UAGGACUUCAACAAGGAAACUUGGUGGGAGGGGAAUAGGGACACAACUCAACCCAUAACAACACUCAAAGACUGUGUUGACAAGUCUGGAUGUGACAUCUAGGAUUCCUGCCUCCAUUACAUCCCAAUCUUGGAGACUGACUCUUCCCAAAGGUCCCCUUUCGACUCACGGCUAGACCACAGGCCCAGGCCCAGCGCCCAGAGGCUCUAGCUCUCCUUGGACUUUCAUAAGCAACUGCUCCUUGAGCUUGACCAUUUCUUCAUUCCUGGACUGGAAUCCUAGAGCGAGAGAUCUGGAAUUGGAGCCCAGAGUGAUCAUCUGGCCCAAGCCCUUCAUUCUGGAGAAUAUGUCCAGAGAAGGAAGGUGACUUGUGGGCCCAGGUCACAUAGGAUGUCACUGGCCAAGUUAUGCUGAAGAAAGACCCAACUAAGGGUGAUACUGGGGUGAAACUGGCCAGUAGACACAUUUUGACCUCGCUUAGACACAUUUGUGCUUAUGUUUCUUACGUAAAAGAAGCAGAGAGAAUGGGCAAGAUACAUAUCAGUGAGGGGCAAAGUGGAAGAAACCAACAGGGAAGGAAAAUAAUCAUCAGAGAGCUAUACUUCUGUCGGGGUGUGAGACACUUUACCUAUAACUCUAACCUCUAACUUUCCUUGGGGGCAGAUUUUCAAUCCCUGUUUUACUGAUGAGAAAACUGAGGCCCCAGAGCAGUUAAAUGACUUGCCCAGGGACACACAGUUCAUCCGUAGCAGAGCCUAGAUGAGAAGCCAAGUCUCUACAUUAUGCCUCUGAUGUUCAUACUUUCUAAUCUCCCCAGCCCAGGCUCCCACAAGGUCAGGUCAAGGUUGUAGCACCCACCUUCUAGCAAUGUACAGCCCCCUGGGAACCUCUGCAAGUCAAAUCACCUCCACAUCACCACUAGGUUAUUUUUUUCAGAACACCUCUGUUUAAGGUUGCCGGAACGCCAUAUAAGCAAAAUUAUACAAUUAUGUGUCCCACCUUCUUUCACCUAAUAUGCUUUUGAGAUUCAUUCAUGUUGUACACAUUCAUUCCUUUUUCUAUUGCUGCAGAGCAUUGCAUUAUGUGGCCACACCAUAGUUUUUCAUCCAUUACCAGCUGAUGGGCAUCUGGAUUGCUACCAGUUUGGGGUUAUUAUGAAUAAGGCUCUGUGUACAGUCACAUACAAGCCUCUGUGUAAACAUAUGCUUUCAUUUCUCUCGGGUAAAUACUAAGGAGUAGAAUUUCCAGGAAUUCUAUUAAGUGUACAUUUAACUUUAUAGGAAACCGCCCAAUCGUUUUCCAAAGUGACCUUACUGUUUUGCAUUUACACCAGCAGUGUAUGAACGCUUUCAUUGCGCCUUAUCCUCACCAACCAGCCCUUGGCACCUAUCUUUUUCAUUUUGGUCAU
This is a long non-coding RNA of Felis catus (domestic cat), 1408 nucleotides long. RefSeq lists it as uncharacterized. The record is from RefSeq and is a predicted model, not a curated record. NCBI's taxonomy places the organism in Eukaryota, Metazoa, Chordata, Mammalia, Carnivora, Felidae. The transcript has 3 exons.